ACACAUGCAAGUCGAGCGGAGACAGUGAGUAGCUUGCUAUGAGCUGUUUUAGCGGCGGACGGGUGAGUAACGCGUGAGCAACCUUUCCCAGACAGGGGAAUAACACACCGAAAGGUGUACUAAUACCGCAUAAGACCACGGAAUCACAUGGUUCUGAGGUAAAAGAUUUAUCGGUUUGGGGUGGGCUCGCGUCCGAUUAGGUAGUUGGUGAGGUAACGGCCCACCAAGCCGACGAUCGGUAGCCGACCUGAGAGGGUGAUCGGCCACAUUGGGACUGAGACACGGCCCAAACUCCUACGGGAGGCAGCAGUGGGGAAUAUUGGGCAAUGGAGGAAACUCUGACCCAGCAACGCCGCGUGGAGGAAGAAGGUUUUCGGAUCGUAAACUCCUGUCCUUGGAGACGAGUAGAAGACGGUAUCCAAGGAGGAAGCCCCGGCUAACUACGUGCCAGCAGCCGCGGUAAUACGUAGGGGGCAAGCGUUGUCCGGAAUAAUUGGGCGUAAAGGGCGCGUAGGCGGCUCGGUAAGUCUGGAGUGAAAGUCCUGCUUUUAAGGUGGGAAUUGCUUUGGAUACUGUCGGGCUUGAGUGCAGGAGAGGUUAGUGGAAUUCCCAGUGUAGCGGUGAAAUGCGUAGAGAUUGGGAGGAACACCAGUGGCGAAGGCGACUAACUGGACUGUAACUGACGCUGAGGCGCGAAAGUGUGGGGAGCAAACAGGAUUAGAUACCCUGGUAGUCCACACUGUAAACGAUGAAUGCUAGGUGUAGGGGGUAUCGACCCCUUCUGUGCCGCAGUCAACACAAUAAGCAUUCCGCCUGGGGAGUACGGCCGCA
RNAcentral lists this ribosomal RNA (831 nucleotides) under uncultured bacterium. Its description in RNAcentral is "bacterial SSU rRNA". It matches the Rfam family "Bacterial small subunit ribosomal RNA", at positions 51 to 890 of the family's 1533-position model. The record is from RNAcentral.